This 497-nucleotide ribosomal RNA is filed under the name uncultured bacterium. RNAcentral's name for it is "partial 16S ribosomal RNA". It matches the Rfam family "Bacterial small subunit ribosomal RNA", at positions 28 to 507 of the family's 1533-position model. The record is from RNAcentral.
GAUGAACGCUGGCGGCGUGCCUAAUACAUGCAAGUCGAGCGAACAGACGAGGAGCUUGCUCCUCUGACGUUAGCGGCGGACGGGUGAGUAACACGUGGAUAACCUACCUAUAAGACUGGGAUAACUUCGGGAAACCGGAGCUAAUACCGGAUAAUAUAUUGAACCGCAUUGUUCUAUAGUGAAAUACGGUUUUGCUGUCACUUAUAGAUGGAUCCGCGCCGCAUUAGCUAGUUGGUAAGGUAACGGCUUACCAAGGCAACGAUGCGUAGCCGACCUGAGAGGGUGAUCGGCCACACUGGAACUGAGAAACGGUCCAGACUCCUACGGGAGGCAGAAGUAGGGAAUCUGCCGAAAUGGGAGAAAGCCUGACGGAGCAACGCCGCGUGAGUGAUGAAGGUCUUCGGAUCGUAAAACUCUGUUAUUAGGGAAGAACAAAUGUGUAAGUAACUAUGCACGUCUUGACGGUACCUAAUCAGAAAGCCACGGCUAACUACGUG